Molecule: non-coding RNA, 31 nt
Filed under: Mus musculus (house mouse)
Lineage: Eukaryota; Metazoa; Chordata; Mammalia; Rodentia; Muridae
Source: RNAcentral
UGCAAGAACUCUUCUUGGUUAUGAUGCUUUU